Molecule: non-coding RNA, 81 nt
Organism: Podarcis lilfordi (Lilford's wall lizard)
Lineage: Eukaryota; Metazoa; Chordata; Lepidosauria; Squamata; Lacertidae
Source: the annotation of a GenBank genome assembly
GGCCAUGUGGUUUAGUGGUAGAGCAUCUGCUUUGAAUGCAGAAAAUCCCAGGUUCAAUCCCCAACAUGUCCUGGUAGGUCU